AUCUUUGCCUAAAAAUUUUCUGGCAAGUUAAUCAGGACUUUUUCAACAAUUCUCCUAUCAGGUAAAUCAUCCCCCAACAACCUUAUUUUGUUCACAACUUUCAUCAGCCGGUCAGAAAAAUCUUUAACUGAUUAUGACUCCUUCAUCUUCAGGCUCUCAUACUCCCUUCUAAAAUUCAAGACUUACAUUUGUCUUAUCCUAGAAUUUCCC
This 210-nucleotide long non-coding RNA is filed under the name Olea europaea (common olive). RNAcentral describes it as "long non-coding RNA (OEUR_LNC001155)". The record is from RNAcentral. Lineage: Eukaryota; Viridiplantae; Streptophyta; Magnoliopsida; Lamiales; Oleaceae.